This is a long non-coding RNA of Brienomyrus brachyistius, 442 nucleotides long. RefSeq lists it as uncharacterized. NCBI's taxonomy places the organism in Eukaryota, Metazoa, Chordata, Actinopteri, Osteoglossiformes, Mormyridae. The record is from RefSeq and is a predicted model, not a curated record. The transcript has 5 exons.
GAAUGGUGUGUGCGAGUCAAUGGUGUGUGUGAGUGAAAGGUCUGUGUGAGUGAAUGGUGUGUGUGUGAGUGAAUGGUGUGUGUGAGUGAAAGGUGUGUGUGAGUGAAUGGUGUGUGUGAGUGAAUGGUGUGUGUGAGUGAAAGGUGUGUGUGAGUGAAUGGUGUGUGUGAGUGAAUGGUGUGUGAGAGUGAAAGGUGUGUGUGAGUGAAUGGUGUGUGUGAGUGAAAGGUGUGUGUGAGUGAAUGGUGUGUGAGAGUGAAUGGUGUGUGUGAGUGAAUGGUGUGUGUGAGUGAAUGGUGUGUGAGAGUGAAUGGUGUGUGUGAGUGAAUGGUGUGUGUGAGUGAAUGGUGUGUGUGAGUGAAAGGUGUGUGUGAGUGAAUGGUGUGUGUGAGUGAAUGGUGUGUGUGAGUGCAUGGUGUGUGUGAGUGAAUGGUGUGUGUGA